This 131-nucleotide small nuclear RNA is filed under the name Chelonoidis abingdonii (Abingdon island giant tortoise). Its description in RNAcentral is "U1 spliceosomal RNA (ENSCABG00000020611.1)". It matches the Rfam family "U1 spliceosomal RNA". From Rfam's summary of the family: U1 is a small nuclear RNA (snRNA) component of the spliceosome (involved in pre-mRNA splicing). Its 5' end forms complementary base pairs with the 5' splice junction, thus defining the 5' donor site of an intron. The record is from RNAcentral. Lineage: Eukaryota; Metazoa; Chordata; Testudines; Testudinidae.
AUGAUUACCUGGCAGGGGAGAUACCAUGAUCACGAAGGUGGUUUUCCCAGGGUGAGGAUCAUCCAUUGCACUGCGGAUGUGCUGACCCCUGAGAUUUCCCCAGAUGUGGGAAACUCAACUGCAUAAAAUAA